RNAcentral lists this RNase P RNA (452 nucleotides) under Nitrobacter vulgaris. Its description in RNAcentral is "RNase P RNA component class A". It matches the Rfam family "Bacterial RNase P class A". From Rfam's summary of the family: Ribonuclease P (RNase P) is a ubiquitous endoribonuclease, found in archaea, bacteria and eukarya as well as chloroplasts and mitochondria. Its best characterised activity is the generation of mature 5'-ends of tRNAs by cleaving the 5'-leader elements of precursor-tRNAs. Cellular RNase Ps are ribonucleoproteins. Lineage: Bacteria; Pseudomonadati; Pseudomonadota; Alphaproteobacteria; Hyphomicrobiales; Nitrobacteraceae. RNAcentral also lists the same sequence under 2 other names. The record is from RNAcentral.
UCAGUCAGCUGGACGGCCGCUCCCGCUCGGGCCGAAAGGCUUGCGGGGGAGGAAAGUCCGGGCUCCAUCGACAUACGGUGCCGGAUAACAUCCGGCGGGGGUGACCCUAGGGACAGUGCCACAGAGAACGAACCGCCGCUUCCACCCUCUCCUUUCGCUUGCCGAAAGAGGGAGGGGUGAGAGCGGUAAGGGUGAAAAGGUGCGGUAAGAGCGCACCGCGUUUCCGGCAACGGAGACGGCAUGGCAAACCCCACCGGGAGCAAAACCGAAUAGGGACGGCGUCGCGAGAGGUUCGCCUUGGGCGAUAACAUCGCAGGGCUAUGUCGGGCUCGCUGUCCGGGUAGGUUGCAUGAGGCAACGUGCAAACGUUGUCCCAGAGGAAUGGCCGUCACGUAUCGUAUGCGUAAGUGUGCGGUGCCCUACAGAACCCGGCUUACAGGCUGGCUGAUAUC